CCCCAGGUUCAAGAGUAAGGGCUCUCCUCUUCUUCAGCUUUCAUAGCCUCAGGAACAUCCGGAUCUUCUGAACUCCGGGCUCCUCUCAUGGUUUGGUGCGCACACAGACAGCUCUUCAAAGUUGAGGCUAUCAAACUGCCAGGAACCUGAUCAGGUGGUAAACGGUUAAUAGGCAGUGUUGUGAAAUUACUCUGUAUGGGAUCUGGAGUUUCAAAGAUUAUGUUUGCAUACUCAUGAGCCAAAGGAUAAGAGAAAGUCCACUCCCUCCUGAUCCAGAGUGCUGACUUUAGACCUGGGUCUUUCUUUCCUCCAAAGAGAUGAAUAGUCCUUUUGUGAUGCCAAAUGAGAAGGCAGUAGUUGCUAGAAAAGAGAUCAAGCAUGAGGUCAUGUAGCUGCUCUAAACUCAUUUCCUCCAAGACGGUGGUACGUUGACUUUAUACAGAAGGGAUAUGGAGGACGUCAUCCUUAAUGAGAAGGAAGAACAGCACCUUUGUAAGUCAUAGUCCUCCCGACAGACGCCAGACAACCCUACAGAGGGAUUGAACCCUGCAUUGCGCGAUUGCACAUUCGUCCUUGUAUGGCUAGCGUUCCUUCACAAUCAUUCAACUGUUAUCCAAAGGGGGAGUGAGGUUGGAAAGAAACACUACACCUAUGAUUACAUAAUUGACUUCUUCCUGCCACGGAAAUCUGUAUUCACUGAGACACUCGCAUCCCUGAAAUGACUGCACUCACGUGAGAGCUGCCCCGGCUUUUCCCUUCCUUUUCCUUGUGUUCUCGAAGGAGAAAGGAUUGGAGGGUAAGCCUGAUUGAGGCUUUCCCUCAAAAUAACAAAACAGUUGGCAAGACAGAGACCAA
Molecule: long non-coding RNA, 855 nt
Organism: Mustela erminea (ermine)
Lineage: Eukaryota; Metazoa; Chordata; Mammalia; Carnivora; Mustelidae
Exons: 5
Source: RefSeq, a predicted model, not a curated record